CGUAGGGGGCUAGCGUUGUCCGGAAUCAUUGGGCGUAAAGAGCGUGUAGGCGGCCCGGUAAGUCCGCUGUGAAAGUCGGGGGCUCAACCCUCGAAUGCCGGUGGAUACUGUCGGGCUAGAGUGCGGAAGAGGCGAGUGGAAUUCCUGGUGUAGCGGUGAAAUGCGCAGAUAUCAGGAGGAACACCGAUUGCGAAGGCAGCUCGCUGGGACGUAACUGACGCUGAGACGCGAAAGCGUGGGGAGCAAACAGGAUUAGAUACCCUGGUAGUCCACGCUGUAAACGAUGGGCACUAGGUGUGGGGGGUGUCGACUCCCUCCGUGCCGAAGCUAACGCAUUAAGUGCCCCGCCUGGGGAGUACGGCCGCAAGGCUA
Molecule: ribosomal RNA, 372 nt
Filed under: uncultured organism
Description: bacterial SSU rRNA
Rfam family: Bacterial small subunit ribosomal RNA
Source: RNAcentral